This 128-nucleotide unclassified non-coding RNA is filed under the name uncultured fungus. RNAcentral's name for it is "sequence contains ITS1". Lineage: Eukaryota; Fungi. The record is from RNAcentral.
UUUUUGUAUUUUGUCUUAAUUCAGAAAACUGAUUCAGAGUAAAAAUUGCCCGAAGGCAAGCAAAGGUAGUUUGUCACGGGUGGCCAGAAAAACUGGUAAUGAUCCUUCCGCAGGUUCACCUACGGAAA